This 491-nucleotide ribosomal RNA is filed under the name uncultured bacterium. Its description in RNAcentral is "partial 16S ribosomal RNA". It matches the Rfam family "Bacterial small subunit ribosomal RNA", at positions 29 to 506 of the family's 1533-position model. The record is from RNAcentral.
AGUGAACGCUGGCGGUAGGCCUAACACAUGCAAGUCGAACGGCAGCACAGUAAGAGCUUGCUCUUACGGGUGGCGAGUGGCGGACGGGUGAGGAAUACAUCGGAAUCUACUUUUUCGUGGGGGAUAACGUAGGGAAACUUACGCUAAUACCGCAUACGACCUACGGGUGAAAGCAGGGGAUCUUCGGACCUUGCGCGAUUGAAUGAGCCGAUGUCGGAUUAGCUAGUUGGCGGGGUAAAGGCCCACCAAGGCGACGAUCCGUAGCUGGUCUGAGAGGAUGAUCAGCAACAAUGGAACUGAGACAAGGUCCAGACUACUACGGGAGGAAGCAGUGGGGAAUAUUGGACAAUGGGCGCAAGCCUGAUCCAGCCAUACCGCGUGGGUGAAGAAGGCCUUCGGGUUGUAAAGCCCUUUUGUGGGGAAAGAAAAGCAGCAGGUUAAUACCCCGCUGUUCUGACGGUACCCAAAGAAUAAGCACAGGCUAACUUCGU